UGUUAAACUAGUCAUCCAUCUGUAGUGUUAAAAAAAUAGUAUAACUAACUGAAUAACCAGACAACGAUACUUGGUGUGCCACAUACACCUCACGCUGAUGUAUAGAGAUCAGUUUUUAAUCGUAAAAAUUUAUGAAACUUUUAAUA
Molecule: microRNA precursor, 146 nt
Filed under: Gossypium barbadense (sea-island cotton)
Lineage: Eukaryota; Viridiplantae; Streptophyta; Magnoliopsida; Malvales; Malvaceae
Also listed under: 2 other names
Description: MIR7502 microRNA precursor family
Rfam family: MIR7502 microRNA precursor family
Source: Rfam by way of RNAcentral